This 2939-nucleotide ribosomal RNA is filed under the name Providencia stuartii. RNAcentral describes it as "bacterial LSU rRNA". It matches the Rfam family "Bacterial large subunit ribosomal RNA". The record is from RNAcentral. Lineage: Bacteria; Pseudomonadati; Pseudomonadota; Gammaproteobacteria; Enterobacterales; Morganellaceae.
GGGUUGUGAGGUUAAGCGACUAAGCGUACACGGUGGAUGCCUAGGCAAUCAGAGGCGAUGAAGGACGUGCUAAUCUGCGAAAAGCGUCGGUAAGGUGAUAUGAACCGUUAUAGCCGACGAUGUCCGAAUGGGGAAACCCAGUGCAAUUCGUUGCACUAUCGUUUGAUGAAUCCAUAGUCAAACGAGGCGAACCGGGGGAACUGAAACAUCUCAGUACCCCGAGGAAAAGAAAUCAACCGAGAUUCCCCUAGUAGCGGCGAGCGAACGGGGAGCAGCCCAGAGUCUUAAUCAGCAUCAGCAUCAGGAGAACGGUCUGGAAAGGCCGGCAAUAAAGGGUGAUAGCCCCGUAUCCGAAGGUGUUGGUGUUGUGAACUCGACGAGUAGGGCGGGACACGUGUUAUCCUGUCUGAAUAUGGGGGGACCAUCCUCCAAGGCUAAAUACUCCUGAUUGACCGAUAGUGAACCAGUACCGUGAGGGAAAGGCGAAAAGAACCCCGGCGAGGGGAGUGAAAUAGAACCUGAAACCGUGUACGUACAAGCAGUGGGAGCCUUGAUUUAUCAGGGUGACUGCGUACCUUUUGUAUAAUGGGUCAGCGACUUAUAUUCUGUAGCAAGGUUAACCGAAUAGGGGAGCCGUAGGGAAACCGAGUCUUAACUGGGCGAAUGAGUUGCAGGGUAUAGACCCGAAACCCGGUGAUCUAGCCAUGGGCAGGUUGAAGGUUGGGUAACACUAACUGGAGGACCGAACCGACUAAUGUUGAAAAAUUAGCGGAUGACUUGUGGCUGGGGGUGAAAGGCCAAUCAAACCGGGAGAUAGCUGGUUCUCCCCGAAAGCUAUUUAGGUAGCGCCUCGUGAACUCAUCUUCGGGGGUAGAGCACUGUUUCGGCUAGGGGGUCAUCCCGACUUACCAACCCGAUGCAAACUACGAAUACCGAAGAAUGUUAUCACGGGAGACACACGGCGGGUGCUAACGUUCGUCGUGAAGAGGGAAACAACCCAGACCGCCAGCUAAGGUCCCAAAGUCAUGGUUAAGUGGGAAACGAAGUGGGAAGGCUCAGACAGCCAGGAUGUUGGCUUAGAAGCAGCCAUCAUUUAAAGAAAGCGUAAUAGCUCACUGGUCGAGUCGGCCUGCGCGGAAGAUGUAACGGGGCUAAACCAUGCACCGAAGCUGCGGCAGCGACAUGUAAAUGUUGUUGGGUAGGGGAGCGUUCUGUAAGCCUGUGAAGGUGUGCUGCGAGGCAUGCUGGAGGUAUCAGAAGUGCGAAUGCUGACAUAAGUAACGAUAAUGCGGGUGAAAAACCCGCACGCCGGAAGACCAAGGGUUCCUGUCCAACGUUAAUCGGGGCAGGGUGAGUCGACCCCUAAGGCGAGGCAGAAAUGCGUAGUCGAUGGGAAACAGGUUAAUAUUCCUGUACUGGUGAUAAUUGCGAUGGGGGGACGGAGAAGGCUAGGCUGGCCGGGCGACGGUUGUCCCGGUUUAAGGAUGUAGGUGGGUGAAUUAGGCAAAUCCGGUUCGCUAUACACUGAGGUCUGAUGACGAGUCACUACGGUGGCGAAGUAGCUCAUGCCCCGCUUCCAGGAAAAGCCUCUAAGCUCUAGAUUAUCAUUAAUCGUACCCCAAACCGACACAGGUGGUCAGGUAGAGAAUACUCAGGCGCUUGAGAGAACUCGGGUGAAGGAACUAGGCAAAAUGGUGCCGUAACUUCGGGAGAAGGCACGCUGGCAUUAGGUGAAGUGGUUUACCCAUGGAGCUGAAGCCAGUCGCAGAUACCAGCUGGCUGCAACUGUUUAUUAAAAACACAGCACUGUGCAAACACGAAAGUGGACGUAUACGGUGUGACGCCUGCCCGGUGCUGGAAGGUUAAUUGAUGGGGUUAUCCGUAAGGAGAAGCUCUUGAUCGAAGCCCCAGUAAACGGCGGCCGUAACUAUAACGGUCCUAAGGUAGCGAAAUUCCUUGUCGGGUAAGUUCCGACCUGCACGAAUGGCGUAAUGAUGGCCAGGCUGUCUCCACCCGAGACUCAGUGAAAUUGAACUCGCUGUGAAGAUGCAGUGUACCCGCGGCAAGACGGAAAGACCCCGUGAACCUUUACUAUAGCUUGACACUGAACAUUGAGCCUUGAUGUGUAGGAUAGGUGGGAGGCUUUGAAGUGUGGACGCCAGUCUGCAUGGAGCCAACCUUGAAAUACCACCCUUUAAUGUUUGAUGUUCUAACGUAGCCCCAUAAUCUGGGGUGCGGACAGUGUCUGGUGGGUAGUUUGACUGGGGCGGUCUCCUCCCAAAGCGUAACGGAGGAGCACGAAGGUUGGCUAAGCAUGGUCGGACAUCAUGCGGUUAGUGCAAAGGCAUAAGCCAGCUUGACUGCGAGAGUGACGGCUCGAGCAGGUACGAAAGUAGGUCUUAGUGAUCCGGUGGUUCUGAAUGGAAGGGCCAUCGCUCAACGGAUAAAAGGUACUCCGGGGAUAACAGGCUGAUACCGCCCAAGAGUUCAUAUCGACGGCGGUGUUUGGCACCUCGAUGUCGGCUCAUCACAUCCUGGGGCUGAAGUAGGUCCCAAGGGUAUGGCUGUUCGCCAUUUAAAGUGGUACGCGAGCUGGGUUUAGAACGUCGUGAGACAGUUCGGUCCCUAUCUGCCGUGGGCGUUGGAAGAUUGAAAGGGGCUGCUCCUAGUACGAGAGGACCGGAGUGGACGCACCGCUGGUGUUCGGGUUGUCAUGCCAAUGGCACUGCCCGGUAGCUAAGUGCGGAAGAGAUAACCGCUGAAAGCAUCUAAGCGGGAAACUUGCCUUGAGAUGAGUCUUCCCUGACUCUUUAAGGGUCCUAAAGGAACGUUUAAGACGAAGACGUUGAUAGGCUGGGUGUGUAAGCGUAGCGAUACGUUGAGCUAACCAGUACUAAUGAACCGUGAGGCUUAACCUGACAACACCGAAGGUGUUUUAG